Molecule: ribosomal RNA, 387 nt
Filed under: uncultured bacterium
Lineage: Bacteria
Description: bacterial SSU rRNA
Rfam family: Bacterial small subunit ribosomal RNA
Source: RNAcentral
AUUGAACGCUGGCGGCAUGCCUUACACAUGCAAGUCGAACGGCAGCACGGGGGCAACCCUGGUGGCGAGUGGCGAACGGGUGAGUAACAUAUCGGAACAUACCCUAGAGUGGGGGAUAACGUAGCGAAAGUUACGCUAAUACCGCAUACGAUCUAAGGAUGAAAGUGGGGGAUCUUCGGACCUCAUGCUCAUGGAGUGGCCGAUAUCUGAUUAGCUAGUUGGUGAGGUAAAGGCCCACCAAGGCGACGAUCAGUAGCUGGUUUGAGAGAACGACCAGCCACACUGGAACUGAGACACGGUCCAGACUCCUACGGGAGGCAGCAGUGGGGAAUUUUGGGACAAUGGGGGCAACCCUGAUCCAGCAAUGCCGCGUGAGUGAAGAAGGCC